Molecule: ribosomal RNA, 1393 nt
Filed under: metagenome
Description: bacterial SSU rRNA
Rfam family: Bacterial small subunit ribosomal RNA
Source: RNAcentral
GUCGAACGGGAUAGCAAUAUCUAGUGGCGACCGGGUGCGGAACACGUAGCUGACCUGCCCCUCGGCGGGGGAUAACAGUCCGAAAGGAUUGCUAAUACCGCAUACACUCACCGGGUUUAGAAGCUGGUGAGGAAACUUACGGGGUCGAGGGAGGGGGCUGCGGCCCAUCAGAUAGUUGGUAGGGUAACGGCCUACCAAGUCAUAGACGGGUAGGGGGCCUGAGAGGGUGACCCCCCACACUGGGACUGACACACGGCCCAGACUCCUACGGGAGGCAGCAGUAAGGGAUAUUGGGCAAUGGGCGAAAGCCUGACCCAGCAACGCCGCGUGGAGGAUGACGGCCUUCGGGUUGUAAACUCUUUUUGGUGGGGACGAGGAAGGACGGUACCCAUCGAAGAAGUCACGGCCAACUACGUGCCAGCAGCCGCGGGAAAACGUAGGUGACGAGCGUUAUCCGGAAUUACUGGGCGUAAAGCGUGUGCAGGCUGCGGGGUAAGUGGUGUAUGAAAGCGCCCGGCUCAACCGGGCGAGGGUAUGCCAGACUGCUCUGCUAGAGGGUGGCAGAGGGAGAGGGAAUUCCGGGUGUAGUGGUGAAAUGCGUAGAGAUCCGGAGGAACACCAGAGGCGAAAGCGCUCUCCUGGGCCACACCUGACGCUCAGACACGAAAGCAUGGGGAGCGAACGGGAUUAGAAACCCCGGUAGUCCAUGCCGUAAACGAUGCAGACUGGGCGUGGGCGGUCUCAACCCCGUCCGUGCCGAAGGCAACCUGUUAAGUCUGCCGCCUGGGGACUACGGUCGCAAGACUAAAACUCAAAGGAAUUGACGGGGGCCCGCACAAGCAGCGGAGCGUGUGGUUUAAUUCGAGGCUACACGAAGAACCUUACCUGGGUUUGACAUGGGCGUGGUAGGGAAGGGAAACCGGACCGACCUUCGGGAGCGCUCACAGGUGCUGCAUGGCUGUCGUCAGCUCGUGCCGUGAGGUGUUAGGUUAAGUCCUGUAACGAGCGCAACCCUCGGGGUCAGUUACACGGUGUCUGGCCCGACUGCCCGUGACAAGCGGGAGGAAGGUGGGGAUGACGUCAAGUCAGCAUGGCCUUUAUAUCCAGGGCUACACACACGCUACAAUGGCCGGUACAAUGGGUCGCCAAGCGGUAACGCGGAGCCAAUCCAGCAAAGCCGGUCACAGUUCGGAUUGAGGGCUGCAUCGCCCUCAUGAAGUCGGAGUUGCUAGUAACCGCCGGUCAGCUAUACGGCGGUGAAUACGUUCCCGGGCCUUGUACACACCGCCCGUCACGUCAUGGGAGCUGGUCACGCCUGAUGCCGGUGGGCCAACCGCAAGGGGGCAGCCGUCGAGGGCAGGGUCGGUGACUGGGACGAAGUCGUAACAAGGUA